AGAGUUUGAUCAUGGCUCAGAUUGAACGCUGGCGGCAGGCCUAACACAUGCAAGUCGAACGGUAACAGGAAACAGCUUGCUGUUUCGCUGACGAGUGGCGGACGGGUGAGUAAUGUCUGGGAAACUGCCUGAUGGAGGGGGAUAACUACUGGAAACGGUAGCUAAUACCGCAUAACGUCGCAAGACCAAAGAGGGGGACCUUCGGGCCUCUUGCCAUCGGAUGUGCCCAGAUGGGAUUAGCUUGUUGGUGGGGUAACGGCUCACCAAGGCGACGAUCCCUAGCUGGUCUGAGAGGAUGACCAGCCACACUGGAACUGAGACACGGUCCAGACUCCUACGGGAGGCAGCAGUGGGGAAUAUUGCACAAUGGGCGCAAGCCUGAUGCAGCCAUGCCGCGUGUAUGAAGAAGGCCUUCGGGUUGUAAAGUACUUUCAGCGGGGAGGAAGGGAGUAAAGUUAAUACCUUUGCUCAUUGACGUUACCCGCAGAAGAAGCACCGGCUAACUCCGUGCCAGCAGCCGCGGUAAUACGGAGGGUGCAAGCGUUAAUCGGAAUUACUGGGCGUAAAGCGCACGCAGGCGGUUUGUUAAGUCAGAUGUGAAAUCCCCGGGCUCAACCUGGGAACUGCAUCUGAUACUGGCAAGCUUGAGUCUCGUAGAGGGGGGUAGAAUUCCAGGUGUAGCGGUGAAAUGCGUAGAGAUCUGGAGGAAUACCGGUGGCGAAGGCGGCCCCCUGGACGAAGACUGACGCUCAGGUGCGAAAGCGUGGGGAGCAAACAGGAUUAGAUACCCUGGUAGUCCACGCCGUAAACGAUGUCGACUUGGAGGUUGUGCCCUUGAGGCGUGGCUUCCGGAGCUAACGCGUUAAGUCGACCGCCUGGGGAGUACGGCCGCAAGGUUAAAACUCAAAUGAAUUGACGGGGGCCCGCACAAGCGGUGGAGCAUGUGGUUUAAUUCGAUGCAACGCGAAGAACCUUACCUGGUCUUGACAUCCACGGAACUUUCCAGAGAUGGAUAUGUGCCUUCGGGAGCUGUGAGACAGGUGCUGCAUGGCUGUCGUCAGCUCGUGUUGUGAAAUGUUGGGUUAAGUCCCGCAACGAGCGCAACCCUUAUCCUUUGUUGCCAGCGGUCCGGCCGGGAACUCAAAGGAGACUGCCAGUGAUAAACUGGAGGAAGGUGGGGAUGACGUCAAGUCAUCAUGGCCCUUACGACCAGGGCUACACACGUGCUACAAUGGCGCAUACAAAGAGAAGCGACCUCGCGAGAGCAAGCGGACCUCAUAAAGUGCGUCGUAGUCCGGAUUGGAGUCUGCAACUCGACUCCAUGAAGUCGGAAUCGCUAGUAAUCGUGGAUCAGAAUGCCACGGUGAAUACGUUCCCGGGCCUUGUACACACCGCCCGUCACACCAUGGGAGUGGGUUGCAAAAGAAGUAGGUAGCUUAACCUUCGGGAGGGCGCUUACCACUUUGUGAUUCAUGACUGGGGUGAAGUCGUAACAAGGUAACCGUAGGGGAACCUGCGGUUGGAUCACCU
This 1530-nucleotide ribosomal RNA is filed under the name Escherichia coli O104:H4 str. Ec11-4988. RNAcentral describes it as "bacterial SSU rRNA". It matches the Rfam family "Bacterial small subunit ribosomal RNA". Lineage: Bacteria; Pseudomonadati; Pseudomonadota; Gammaproteobacteria; Enterobacterales; Enterobacteriaceae. The record is from RNAcentral.